GGAAAAGAUGAUCAAAGCAAGUGUAGUUGAAAAAGGCCUUUACAAUUGCAGGUCUAACUGAAUGAAAUUUAGCUUAGUUAUAAUCAAAAAAUGAGUCUUGCUAAACAAGAAAAGAAAAGAGAAAUUUGGGAAAAGGAGCACACUAUGACCCCCGAUCCCCUCACGUAAAUAAAAUAAAAAACAGUGUUUUUACUCUUUGGGGCAUUAUAGAAAAAUCUCUCACCUUUCACUCAAAAUAUGGAUAACUUUCUGUCAAGAGGUCUAUAAUUCUCUUUGACAGCUACAGACAUAAUAAUUUUGUACCUUUUUCAGCUAGACAAAAUCCUUUACGUUAACUUAAAAUGCACGAGUCAAACACUGCCAAAGUUUGUUUUACAAGUAAAUUCUUCUCUCUUCUUAUAUAAAAAAUAUGGGAUAUAUAUGAUUUUAUUCUAAUUAUUCGUUAUCCACAUUAGACUAUAUACUAGUAUGAAGAAAACAACAAUUUCAAUUACCAGUAACAAGAUUAGGCCCUAACACUAAAGAUUUCAAAGAUGUGCUACCCCCUGGUGAUGCUGAAGAUAAUAUUACACGCACACACAAAUAUUAU
RNAcentral lists this long non-coding RNA (589 nucleotides) under Mytilus galloprovincialis (Mediterranean mussel). Lineage: Eukaryota; Metazoa; Mollusca; Bivalvia; Mytilida; Mytilidae. The record is from RNAcentral.